RNAcentral lists this ribosomal RNA (253 nucleotides) under uncultured bacterium. RNAcentral's name for it is "partial 16S ribosomal RNA". It matches the Rfam family "Bacterial small subunit ribosomal RNA", at positions 524 to 776 of the family's 1533-position model. The record is from RNAcentral.
UACAGAGGUGGCAAGCGUUGUUCGGAAUUACUGGGCGUAAAGGGCGCGUAGGCGGCCUUGUCAGUCAGACGUGAAAUCCCCAGGCUUAACCUGGGAACUGCGUCUGAUACUACAAGGCUUGAGUGCGGGAGAGGGAUGUGGAAUUCCAGGUGUAGCGGUGAAAUGCGUAGAUAUCUGGAGGAACACCGGUGGCGAAGGCGGCAUCCUGGACCGACACUGACGCUGAGGCGCGAAGGCCAGGGGAGCAAACGGG